AUUGAACGCUGGCGGCAGGCCUAACACAUGCAAGUCGAGCGGAUGAAGGGAGCUUGCUCCUGGAUUCAGCGGCGGACGGGUGAGUAAUGCCUAGGAAUCUGCCUGGUAGUGGGGGAUAACGUCCGGAAACGGGCGCUAAUACCGCAUACGUCCUGAGGGAGAAAGUGGGGGUUUUUCGGACCUCACGCUAUCAGAUGAGCCUAGGUCGGAUUAGCUAGUUGGUGGGGUAAAGGCCUACCAAGGCGACGAUCCGUAACUGGUCUGAGAGGAUGAUCAGUCACACUGGAACUGAGACACGGUCCAGACUCCUACGGGAGGCAGCAGUGGGGAAUAUUGGACAAUGGGCGAAAGCCUGAUCCAGCCAUGCCGCGUGUGUGAAGAAGGUCUUCGGAUUGUAAAGCACUUUAAGUUGGGAGGAAGGGCAGUAAGUUAAUACCUUGCUGUUUUGACGUUACCAACAGAAUAAGCACCGGCUAACUUCGUG
This 484-nucleotide ribosomal RNA is filed under the name uncultured bacterium. RNAcentral's name for it is "partial 16S ribosomal RNA". It matches the Rfam family "Bacterial small subunit ribosomal RNA", at positions 30 to 507 of the family's 1533-position model. The record is from RNAcentral.